This 373-nucleotide ribosomal RNA is filed under the name uncultured organism. Its description in RNAcentral is "partial 16S ribosomal RNA". It matches the Rfam family "Bacterial small subunit ribosomal RNA", at positions 527 to 896 of the family's 1533-position model. The record is from RNAcentral.
GGGGGGAGCGAGCGUUGUUCGGAAUCACUGGGCGUAAAGGGCGUGUAGGCGGUUUGGGUAAGUGAGAUGUGAAAGCCCCCGGGCUCACCCGGGGAGGGUCAUCUCAUACUGCUGAACUUGAGUGCGGAAGAGGAUGAGGGAAUUCCUGGUGUAGCGGUGAAAUGCGUAGAUAUCAGGAGGAACACCGGUGGCGAAGGCGCUCAUCUGGUCCGUUACUGACGCUGAGGCGCGAAAGCUAGGGGAGCGAACGGGAUUAGAUACCCCGGUAGUCCUAGCCGUAAACGGUGGGCACUAGGUGUAGGAGGCAUCGACCCUUCCUGUGCCGCAGCUAACGCAUUAAGUGCCCCGCCUGGGGAGUACGGCCGCAAGGCUG